CAACCCUCAAGCCUGGCUUGGUGUUGGAGCACUACCCGUUACACGGUAGGCUCUGAAAUUCAGUGGCGGGCUCGCUAAGACUCUGAGCGUAGUAGUUUUACCACCUCGCUUUGGAAGGAUUAGUGGUGCUCUAGCCGUAAAACCCCCCCAAAUCUUCUGAA
Molecule: unclassified non-coding RNA, 161 nt
Filed under: uncultured Diaporthales
Lineage: Eukaryota; Fungi; Ascomycota; Sordariomycetes; Diaporthales
Description: sequence contains ITS2
Source: RNAcentral